This 220-nucleotide long non-coding RNA is filed under the name Salvator merianae (Argentine black and white tegu). RNAcentral describes it as "lncRNA (ENSSMRG00000007160.1)". Lineage: Eukaryota; Metazoa; Chordata; Lepidosauria; Squamata; Teiidae. The record is from RNAcentral.
UGGUUUGCCUGGAAACCAUUCUUUCUUGGAACCAAACCUAGGUGAGGAGGAGCUUCAAAUGGUAGUUAUAGUACAUCCAGUUAUUUUAGAAUAGAGUUNUCUGCCUGAAGUCCUGCAGAAAGAGACCAAGCUGCCACUUGAAAAGGACAAAGAAGGGCAGAGUUGAGAAAAGCCUAGAUGAGAUACAACAAGAGAAAGUGAUGCUUGCCUGAGAAGAUAC